CUUACCACGUCUGCUGCUCGAUGACUCUUGGCCAUAAUCAUGGGUGCCCCACUCUUGAAAUCACUUGCAACCCCUCCUCUCUUUUUCGGAUGAGACAGUCCAAAGGGGAUAGAGAGAGGGACAGGUGGCAGCCUGAGGUCCAAGAAGACGACCCUGGGGGCACCCCAGCCAACCCUUGCUUGGCCAGCCACUUCAUGACACGAGCAUGACACCCCCAAACCCUGAACAGUUCACAGUACAAAUUUAUUUCUGCAUAGAUCAUACAGAAUACAAACAGUCGGGGUCGCCUCUGCUCCCUUAACCAACCAGAGCCCAGCCCCAGAAGGUCCUGCCUCAGGAGUCCGAGGGCACACCCACCACCACCUUCCCCCAGUUACCAGCCAGUAUGUGCAGGGCCCCUGCGACGGCGGCCAGCCUGGCCUUCCUGGAGAGCUCCAUGCUCCCGAUGUUUAUGCAGCGCAGCCCGGCCAUGCCUAGGAAGAGGCCCAGGAAGCCCAGGAAGAUGGCGGUGAUCAUGAGCGCCCGGCAGGCCUGGAGGUACCCUGGGGAGGCGGGGCGCAGCCAUGGGUCCCUAAGCUGGCCCCUUCCCCCUCCGGGGCUGAGCCAGCCCCUUACAGCCAGCCCCUGCUCGGGUCUCAGUCCAUAAAGGCCCUCAAGUCCCCUCCUUCCCCCUCUGGGCCCUAUUCCGCUGGAGCCCUGACGCCCCUCCUUCCUAGGGGCUCAAUUCAGGCCCCGCCCCCCGGCCCCCGGUUCGGCGCACCUGCUUACUGGCUGUCUCCUUGGCACUACUGACACUUUGGCCAGCUACUGCUUUGGUCUGGGGGCCGUUCUGGGCCCUGUGGGAUGUUCAGCAGCAUCCUUGGCCUCUACCCACUAGAUGUCAGCAGGAGUCCGCUCCAAGAGGGACCAUCAAAAUGUCUAGACGUUGUCAAUGACCCCUGGGGGACAAAGUCGCCCCCAAUCACAGCCGAGAACCACUGCUCCGAAUGACAGAAAUUGCACUUGAGUACUCAGCCCCUGCCCCACAUCUGCUUCUCUCUAGGUCCCACGUGGCACAGCCCCUAGACAUCAUGAAGUGAGCUUUCUCCUGCAGUGACCUGUAGGGGGCAGCAGUUGCCCGUGGGUUACUGGGUGGGGGCUGGUUCUGAUCUGGAAAGUGGGGUAUCUAGGCGCAGGACAAUCCAAGCCCACCUAGCUCAUAUACAUUGGAUGCCUCAGUUUCCCCUUUCUCAAAGCUGAAGGAAACGGCCAGUUUCCUUCCCGGCCCCUCUUCCCCCUUCUCUUUGAUACUUGCCAACCACCCCAAGGACCUUGUUCCCCUUUCCUGGGUGGGGCCGUGCCACUGGUGCUGAAGACGCUGGGUCCCUGCCAGGAGGAUGUGAAGUGGCCCGGAGUUGGCGGGUAGAGAGGAGGGACAAAGUUCUCUGGGAGCACUUUCUCACUCCCAGCCACUCCCUCUGGGGUUCCCCCCUCCCCCGUAUCCUCUCUAUCCAGGGCUGACCAGCCCUGGGUCCCUAGGCCGCUGUGGUAGACAAAGGAGAGAUUACUGAUGGGCCACGAGGGAGCGUGGGCUGGGCGGCUGUGGGGGGUUAAAUAAUAGUCAGGACCCCCCCUCGGGACCAGAGUAUCCGCCAGCCUGGGUUCCGGCACCCCUACCACCUGUGGGGCUGUGGGCCGGUUAACGCUUGUGCUUGUAGUUUUCCAGCUUGGGUGAAACGGGGUUGCCCGCGCCCCACGCAGCCAGGCCAGCGGAGACGGCACUGUGAUGGCCUGCGUGAAGAACCAUCACAACGUGGGGUGCCCUGACGACCCCCGAUGCCGAGCAGCUGCCCUCUGCCCUUCCCCCUGGAGCAGGCUCUUGCCCCUCCAUCAGCAGUUCCAAGUGGGGCCCUUCUCGGGCCGACAGGCUCACGGCAAACGCCCCUCUUCAAACCGCGGUGUGGCUGAGGGAUGGGUGAGGCGGGAAGGGCCAGUGCUGCUAAGCCGGCUGCCUGCAAUGUCCCUUCUGGCCACCCGGCAUUCGGGGCUUCUGGUCCAGAUGGUACCCAGCUUUUAUCGGGAGCUUGGGGAGGGCACGUGCCCUGCACAUGGCAAAUCCUGGAGAGGGGGAUGAAGGCACGAAAUCCCUGCUGGCUCAGGAGAUUCUGGGAAUCGCAGGGGCACGAGAGACCCACGCAGACCCCUUAACUGCGCAGAGCAUCUCUGGCAUUCCCGCAGCCCUGUUCCAAACCCAGUGUUGGCUUUAGUUCCAUCCACUUCCCGGCACCUACAGUGGCGAACCGGAAGAGCACGACGGCUCCAAGGGGGGUGCGGGAGUGGCACCAAAAAGAGGACCUGUCCUCCCCUCCUGGUCUCCGGCACGGGCCUACCGAAAAGACUCCCCCGAGGGAUGCUGGGGACUACUCGGUGAACAGGAAGCAGGAAGACGCUAUACCACCAAGGAGAACCUUUCUGGAACAAAAGACCUGUACCUUCCGGCCCUCCGAGAACUUCAAAAAAUCCACCGCCUGAGAACGCUGAACACACAUGCACACACACCCCUAGCUGCUUCCACCAGACACAGCGCCGCGGGAAGUCUCGCUUGAAGAGGGCCCUUGAGAAUUCGCCAUGGCAGUGGCACCGAUGCCUUUUAAGGGUCUCAACGCCAAGAACCCAAGAUGGGCCUCCUCUGCACCCCCACGACCCCCAGCACUCUCACCACAAAGCUGAGAUGCUGAAGUCGGUCUUGUGCGCACACGGGCCAACGAGAAUCACGCUAACGUCCCGGGCUGUAGCUCAACACUCACAACCAUGCCACGCGCCUGUGCACGUUCCCCCGGUUUUACAGUUGGGGUGAACGAAGCUCGUUUCAUCACCGGCGGGGGGCACCGAGCUGGUCAGCUGAGCCCGGCAGUCUGGCCCUGGUGCCUGCACUUGGAACCACUAGGGGUGUCACAUUAGGGCAGGGGGACACGUGGGACGAGGUCUCCAGUGCGGCUCCAGAUGGGGGCCGCCGGGCACUCCCAGCUCCCCAAGCUCGAUCCAGGCCUCCCUUAUCGGCUCGGUGCCCAAGGCCCGACCGUGGGCAGCAGUCACCCUCCCCGGGGGUCUCUCCCCGCCUCCCGCCGCCCCCUGGAGCGGGCCACCCCGCUCUCUCCACCCCAUACCGGAGAGGGCCAGCAAGGACGGGAACUCCCGGCAGCUGUAGACUCCCAGGGAGUCGGUGGCACAGCUAAACCAGAGGUUCUCGAAGAUGGUGUUGGUGGUGAUGACGCUCCCGUGCACGGUGGACACUCGCCAGUAGCUGUGUGGCAGGGUCACCCCCAGCAUCAGCAGCCCCAGGGCCGCCAUGAAGAAGCCGAAGAUCUCCACGGCCACCGACAUGGUGAGAUGCAGGGCCCUGAGGGGCGCCUGGGGCCCCAGAGGAGGGGAGGGGCUGAGCCCCAAGGGAACUUGAGGGGCUUUGGCUAAGGAGGGGUGUUAAGGCAGGCUGGAGAGAAAGGUGGAGAGAGCAGGGGGGGCCAGCAGCAACCUGGGGUGCAGAUCUGCCCCCACCCCCCCGGCUUCUGCCCCCUGCCCUCCCUCUGGGUUCCUGCUUCCCCGAAGGUCCGGGCAGAGGAAUGAGCCCAGAGCGCCGGGCAGCUGUUGACGCGGAGAUGGAGGGAAGCAACGGAACACGGGCCAAAAGUCCACCCCCUCCCCCAGCCUCUGGGCUCCCCGCCCCACAAGGGGGGCGGAGAGGACUAAUGGGAGUGACCAACGAACGGAUGGGGCUGAGGGGGGCCCCCACGGGAGGCACUGGGAGCAGAGGGGAAGCAGGGAAGUCGCUCUGACUCAGCUCUCAUCGGGGGGCCGGAGAAUGGAGCCAGGACAAGGAAAGAGAAGGUGACUGAGAGACCGGGGCCACAGACAGACCUUUCGCGGGGCAGGAUCCGGGAAGCGGAGCCCCCCUCCUGGAUGUUGGUGAGAACAAUUUAAGAAACUCCAAAGACUUAGGGUUCGGGCUACUGAGUCACCGAAGAAGAUUAAGGUUGAGUAAGGCAUCAGGGCGUCUGGGCGGAACCCGCAGCUCUGGAGUCCAGUCAACCUGGAUUCAAACCAGACCCACCAUCUACCAGAGCCACAAGGGCCUGGAGUCUGAGCCCCUCGGGCUUGUUCCUGCUUCUGUGAACUAGAACUGGCUCCCUCACCACUGUGACCCCAGAUCAAAAGCUCCCUGCACGUGGGAACUGCGCCAUCCUCGGGGACCACUCUGGCUCCGGGUGCCGCGGGCACAGGGUGAGGCCACCAGUGGGUUGCUUCCCUCCAAACUUCAACUUCUUGAACUUGAAUUUCCCCCCUCAUCGGGUUGAUCUUUGACUCUCGGCAACAAGCUUGAUCUCGCUGCCAAGGGCCACCAAGGGGGAUAAAUCACAGGCCCAGAACGUGAUCCUGUGGCUAAUCUAAGCAGCUCAGUUAUCAGAACUGUCACCAGCUCUAUUAAUUACGAUGGGUUAGAAACGGCCGGGCCCCAACCCCAAGCCGAGGCUGAGCACCUGUCCUGGUGCAGACAGUAUCAUUUCCUGCCUCAAGGCCACAGCCAGGGCAGCUCUGGUUCUCCUCUGGCAAGCGCAGCAGGGGCUUGGUCUCCAGGGGUAGGGGGGCACCGAUGCUACCCCCCAGGCAGUCACAGGGGACAUCAAGGAGCCGAAGGGUACCCCAUCACCCCCCUCCCCAUGUCGGGCUCCUCUGCGCUCCCCUCAGGUGCCUCCGCCCCAACCCCCCCCCCCCCCCCCCCCCCCCCCCGCCCCAAGCCAGGCUGGCUUGGCUGUGGAACGAGAGGUAUGCGGUGAAGCAAGACAGGCCCACGCUGAGCCUGGCACCGGGCGGGUGUGGGGCAAAGCAGGCUGGGUGGGGACUGGGUCCUGACCUUCCAUCUCGGAGCCUAUGACUGGGAUGUCCUGGGUUUGCAACCUUUCUCAAGAACCUGAGGAGUCCUCUCGAAGGCCCAGCCCUGCCCCUGGGCGGCAGCCCCUCCCCAGGAGAGGACGGGGAGGAGGGGGCCGCAGGAAGACAAAGGGAGAGAAGGGUGGAGGUUUGGGAGGAAACCGAGUGGGGGCCCCCCCUGGUGUGGAAAACUCCACGUGCUAAGAGGCAGCUGUGUGGGUCAAAGGAGACAGGAGACAUAAAUCCUGGCCUGUCCCCUCAGCUCUUCCCUUCCCGCCUCCCGUCACUGCCUUCUCCCAGGAUUCCAGCACCGUGCAAAGGCCACGUCCCGUGUCCCUGUGUCCCCAUGCUGCCUACCACUGCUUUGGGGGAGGGGAAGGAAGGAAGGGUGUGGGCUCUGGGCAGCUUGGCGGACAAAGGCGAACCCCACACCAGCCUGGGGGCGGGUAGGAGUAGGAAGGCGAGCAGGAAAGGACCACGGGUGACCCCCACCUUUGGGCCCAGUGGAGCCCGCCCCUUCUUCCACACAGACACAGCGGUUCCGAGCCAAAGCCCAGUUUUAUUUACACUCGUCCCGGAGCACGUGGUUUGGGGCUAUUGGACAGGUCUCUGGGGACAGGAGGCCGAAGGCAGAGGGCAGUGAUGGGGUACAGGGGAAGGGACGGAAAGGAUGGACGGCCACCCCCCCACCCCCCCUUCGAACGUCCUCCACAGGCUCCCAGGCAUCCCUGGGCAGAGGCGGAGGCGCGGUCUCCUUUAGGAUUUGGACUUGGAUACAGCAAGUCCGAUGAGUCCAGCCAGUCCCGCCACGCCCAGGGCCAUCCCUCCAACAAUGGCCAUGCCCACUAGUCCGUCUGGGGAAGGGAAAAGGGAGACUGUCAGGAGCCCAGCCCCCACAGGGACCCUGCCCGGUGCGCCUCUUCCCCUGGAGUCAUGAGGCAAGGGACUCCAAGGCGUACAGAAAGAAGGGACUGAGGGACUGAGGAGGAUGUGCCUGGAGCGGGGGAAGGGGUCCUUUAAAGGGAGACCAGAGAGGGGGGUGCCUGGGUGGCUCAGUCGGUUGCGCGUCCGACUUCAGCUCAGGUCGUGGUCUCGAGGUUUGUGGGUUCGAGCCCCGCAUCGGGCUCUGUGCUGACAGCUUAGAGCCUGGAGCCUGCUUUGGAUUCUGGGUCUCCCUCUCUGUGCCCCUCACCUGUUCACACUCUGUCUCUCCCUCUCACAAAAAUAAAUAAAUAAACAUUAAAAAAAAGUAUCUUCUGAAGGGCAAAUUUAAAAAAAUUAAAUAAAUACAAAAUAAAGGGAGACCAGAGAGCCCAGGCGUGGGGGAAGGAAGACGACUUGGUGAAGAGCAGAGAGGUGCCCUGGGAGGACAGGACGACGGGGCCAGGGAGACAGGCAAGCAGGGGGAGCGGGGAGCAGGGGGGUGGGGGGCCGAGGGGAAGGUUCACCUUUCUUCAUGGCCUUGUCAAUAAGCUGCUCCAGUUCCUUGGCCUGGUUGUUCUGGGGCUCUGUCUGCAGCAGCCCCCGCACAUACUUUAGUGCCUUCUCAUAUUCCUGCGCUCAGGGAAAACACAGACACACACACCCCCAGUAUUCCAGCCUCUUCCAGCCCCUCAGAGGGACCUGCACUUGCCCCGGAGGCUCCUCCCUCUACCCCCACCUCCUCCCUCCCUCCGACCCCACCCAACAGAGUAGAGUCCACAAACAACCCCAACUGUGUGGGGGUGAUAAGCCUGGGGAGAUAACCAUCCAAGGCUCGGGGCUGCACCCCAAUCCUGAGGUCACCCACACCCUUGGCACCUGGAUCUUCUGUCCCUCACCUUCCCUCGGCGUCAGGACCCGUCGCCUUGCACCUCUGUACCCGACACCCCCCCUGCCCACUUGCCCUGUCCGGCCUCCCUGACGGCCAGGGCUCUACCCUGGAGGGGAAAUGACGGGUGGGGUGGCCCACCCGGAGAGGGAGGGGGGGGAAGAAGGGGGCUGCCGCCUUACCUUGAGCCGGUAGUUCCCCACAGCCAGGUAGAAAACAUAAUCCCGCUGCUCCUCUUUGCUCCCGUUGGGCAGCAGCUCUGGGGAGGGUGGUGGCAAGAGGGUGAAACCCGCUCCUCUCCUCUCCUAGUGCCUGUGUCCCAGAGACCCCCCCCACUCUCCGAAUCCCUGUACGACCCCGGGACAAAGUCACCGUGCUGAGCUUCCAUUUCAGCUCUGGCCCUUCUUGGCUUCCCAGUCAGGGCUCCGGGGAAGCACAAACCCAGGCUGCCAAAUACCCCGCUGAUGAACACCCUGGUUUCAACACUAUAUAGUCAGCUCUAGUUCAUCUAAGUGAACUGGAAGGAAACUGAGGCACUGGAGAAGCCAAAGGUACCCGCUGUGUUCUCACUGUAGCUGUUUGCUGCCCAGAUUGGGGUUAAAAUAAAUUUGCACUCCCCCCCUUUAAAAAAUCAGCUCAAAACCCCCCUUCAGUUAGCAUUCUCUGAAUGACCCCUGCCUGACUCUAUCUUAAUUCAGUGACUUCGCAGAGGCUUCUGUACAAUUUGGGGCUAAGUAGCUUUGCAGGUGUUCAUAAA
Molecule: long non-coding RNA, 7472 nt
Organism: Acinonyx jubatus (cheetah)
Lineage: Eukaryota; Metazoa; Chordata; Mammalia; Carnivora; Felidae
Exons: 2
Source: RefSeq, a predicted model, not a curated record